This 348-nucleotide unclassified non-coding RNA is filed under the name soil metagenome. Its description in RNAcentral is "partial contains 5.8S ribosomal RNA, internal transcribed spacer 2, and large subunit ribosomal RNA". The stretch from base 1 to 120 matches the Rfam family "5.8S ribosomal RNA", at positions 35 to 154 of the family's 154-position model. The record is from RNAcentral.
GAUGAAGAACGUAGCGAAAUGCGAUAAGUAAUGUGAAUUGCAGAAUUCAGUGAAUCAUCGAAUCUUUGAACGCACAUUGCGCCCGCCAGUAUUCUGGCGGGCAUGCCUGUCUGAGCGUCAUUUCAACCCUCAUGCCCCUAGGGCGUGGUGUUGGGGAUCGGCCAAAGCCCGCGAGGGACGGCCGGCCCCUAAAUCUAGUGGCGGACCCGUCGUGGCCUCCUCUGCGAAGUAGUGAUAUUCCGCAUCGGAGAGCGACGAGCCCCUGCCGUUAAACCCCCAACUUUCCAAGGUUGACCUCAGAUCAGGUGGGAAUACCCGCUGAACUUAAGCAUAUCAAUAAGCGGAGGA